Molecule: ribosomal RNA, 1351 nt
Filed under: uncultured bacterium
Lineage: Bacteria
Description: 16S ribosomal RNA
Rfam family: Bacterial small subunit ribosomal RNA
Source: RNAcentral
UGGCGGCGUGCUUAACACAUGCAAGUCGAACGAAGCAUAAGGAACGGAUUAUUUCGGUAAGAAGUACUUUAUGACUGAGUGGCGGACGGGUGAGUAACGCGUGGAUAACCUGCCUCAUACAGGGGGAUAACAGUUAGAAAUGACUGCUAAUACCGCAUAAGCGCACAGUGCUGCAUGGCACAGUGUGAAAAGCUCCGGCGGUAUGAGAUGGAUCCGCGUUUGAUUAGCUAGUUGGUGGGGUAAAGGCCUACCAAGGCGACGAUCAAUAGCCGACCUGAGAGGGUGACCGGCCACAUUGGGACUGAGACACGGCCCAAACUCCUACGGGAGGCAGCAGUGGGGAAUAUUGCACAAUGGGGGAAACCCUGAUGCAGCGACGCCGCGUGAAGGAAGAAGUAUUUCGGUAUGUAAACUUCUAUCAGCAGGGAAGAAAAUGACGGUACCUGACUAAGAAGCCCCGGCUAAUUACGUGCCAGCAGCCGCGGUAAUACGUAAGGGGCAAGCGUUAUCCGGAUUUACUGGGUGUAAAGGGAGCGUAGACGGCAGUGCAAGUCUGAUGUGAAAGCCCGGGGCUCAACCCCGGGACUGCAUUGGAAACUGUGCAGCUAGAGUGUCGGAGAGGUAAGUGGAAUUCCUAGUGUAGCGGUGAAAUGCGUAGAUAUUAGGAGGAACACCAGUGGCGAAGGCGGCUUACUGGACGAUAACUGACGUUGAGGCUCGAAAGCGUGGGGAGCAAACAGAAUUAGAUACCCUGGUAGUCCACGCCGUAAACGAUCAUAAAAGGGGUCGGGCGCCAAAGGCGUUCGGUGGCGCAGCAAACGCAAUAAGUAUUCCACUGGGGGAGUACGUUCGCAGAAAUGAAACUCAAAGGAAUUGACGGGGACCCGCACAAGCGGUGGAGCAUGUGGUUUAAUUCGAAGCAACGCGAAGAACCUUACCAAGUCUUGACAUCUGCCUGACCGGUCCGUAACAGGACCCUUCCUUCGGGACAGGCAAGACAAGUGGUGCAUGGUUGUCGUCAGCUCGUGUCGUGAGAUGUUGGGUUAAGUCCCGCAACGAGCGCAACCCUUAUCCUUAGUAGCCAGCAGGUAGAGCUGGGCACUCUAGGGAGACUGCCAGGGACAACCUGGAGGAAGGUGGGGAUGACGUCAAAUCAUCAUGCCCCUUAUGAUUUGGGCUACACACGUGCUACAAUGGCGUAAACAAAGGGAGGCGAAGGGGUGACCUGGAGCAAAUCCCAAAAAUAACGUCUCAGUUCGGAUUGUAGUCUGCAACUCGACUACAUGAAGCUGGAAUCGCUAGUAAUCGCGAAUCAGAAUGUCGCGGUGAAUACGUUCCCGGGUCUUGCACA